Molecule: ribosomal RNA, 228 nt
Filed under: uncultured bacterium
Lineage: Bacteria
Description: partial 16S ribosomal RNA
Rfam family: Bacterial small subunit ribosomal RNA
Source: RNAcentral
CCUACGGGAGGCAGCAGAGGUCUGUGGUGAAAGACUGAAGCUUAACUUCAGUAAGCCAUAGAAACCGGGCAGCUAGAGUGCAGGAGAGGAUCGUGGAAUUCCAUGUGUAGCGGUGAAAUGCGUAGAUAUAUGGAGGAACACCAGUGGCGAAGGCGACGAUCUGGCCUGCAACUGACGCUCAGUCCCGAAAGCGUGGGGAGCAAAUAGGAUUAGAUACCCGUGUAGUCC